This 252-nucleotide ribosomal RNA is filed under the name uncultured bacterium. Its description in RNAcentral is "partial 16S ribosomal RNA". It matches the Rfam family "Bacterial small subunit ribosomal RNA", at positions 524 to 776 of the family's 1533-position model. The record is from RNAcentral.
UACGGAGGAUGCGAGCGUUAUCCGGAUUUAUUGGGUUUAAAGGGUGCGUAGGCGGUCCGGAGAGUCAGCGGUAAAAGCCCGGGGCUCAACCCCGGCGAGCCGUUGAAACUGUCGGACUAGAGACGGCGAGAAGUACGCGGAAUGCGCGGUGUAGCGGUGAAAUGCAUAGAUAUCGCGCAGAACUCCGAUUGCGAAGGCAGCGUACCGGCGCCGGACUGACGCUGAGGCACGAAAGCGUGGGUAUCGAACAGG